AAUCCAAAAUAUAUCACAACUUUAUUAGUCAUAUGAGCUUCUAAUGGAAGGAUACCAAAAUACAGUAGGAUCUGAUACGGUUGAGCAGAACCCAGAGAGAACGCAGAGGGAACCUCACCCUGCGGUCAACCGCCGAAAGUUUUUAAGGGAUUAAAAGCAAAGAUGCCGGUUCACCGCACGAGAGAUGGAAUGAAAGCUAGGAGCUGUGAUGCAUCUAACAGCAGACAGACUCGUAAGGCAGGCUACGGUAAUUUAUCAUCUUUUAUUACACCGACUUUAUCUGCGUGUCAGGUGAAGACUUGUAAGGAAGGCUGUCAUUUAUUUCUUGGAGGACAGCUGAUCCAAGCCUAGAGAGGGAGGCCUUGGAAACCACGCAAAAAGGACACGGUUCCUUUAUUUAUUUAUUUU
Molecule: long non-coding RNA, 408 nt
Filed under: Phoenix dactylifera (date palm)
Lineage: Eukaryota; Viridiplantae; Streptophyta; Magnoliopsida; Arecales; Arecaceae
Description: long non-coding RNA (PDAC_LNC019803)
Source: RNAcentral